UGUUGUAAAGUAACAAUUCCUUUUGCUUUGCGGUUGCCCAAACAGGGCUUGUUUGGGAAGUCCAUUACCCAGAAUUCUCAGCACAUGGCCAAGCUUAGGCACCCGGACUGAAAACUGUUUAACUUCCCCUGGAUGGACUUGCUGCUGUUCCGUGACUCUGAUUCUGAGAGGAACAAGCUUAAAACUUAAGGAACAAGUUAGGCAGCUUCACCGUGUCAGUCUUUUACUGUACAAAAUUCAGCAAAGAAAAGAAGAUGGUGGUAGUUGUGUCCCCAACACUUUGUCCACUAGCCCUGAGGGUGCUCACCUGGAAAACUAAAUCGCUCUUCUGCUUGAUUUGGAGCAGGAAUUUUAACCUGAAUUUCUUACAACCCUGGGGAACGCUCUAGUCACCAAGCUACUGGACAAAAGGAGUAUACCACCUUAACACUGUCCUUUGUACAAGAAAAACAAAGAAUAUUCACAAUAUAAACUACUCCUAUAACUGCACAGCGAAAUUCUGUUGAUUAAGAAAAAAAAUAGAUAAAAUGGGCAAGAAUUCAUGUUUGGCAUGAGAAGAAAAAGUGAUAUACAGCUUACAACAUAAACAAGGAAAGGAAAUGCCAGAGCUACUUUUUGUCAAGCCCAAAUGAAAGGAGCAAUGAUCCAUCAAUUUAAGAUAAUUUCAGAAAGAAUCUGUAACCCAGUGCUGCAGAUGUUGAAACCGUGUCCAAAAAAGGUGAGCUGUAUGCUGUUUUUGCUCAGUUUUUUCUUGCAAAUAGUGAGUUGAAUUCCCAACUCAAAGACUGUUUCAAGUUCUUUAAGAUCACAAGCCACAAGAUAGUUGUACUGAAAAAAAAGAUCUCAUUAUUAAUAAUAAUGAAAAGAAAUUAAAGAUGGAUUAAAACUACAUAAGUAUCUGAUAGAAGGGCUCUAAUAUCAAUGACAGAUAUAUAAGCAAAAAUACUUAUUUAAUUUGUGCUUUGGCUGUUGCCACGGUAACUGGAAACAGACGCUAUGUAACUGAGUGCAGGACAACUAUACUCCUCCUGUGGUCAUUAUACACUGAGCUUGGCUCUCCAGUCCUCUCUAAACGUACAGUUCUCAGACACUUAGCUGUGAAAUCAUGAUUGAGUUUGAAGCUGGAGAUGGCAAGUCUUCCAAAAGCUGACUGCUGGUAAAUGCACUUCAGUGCUUUCUACUCUUUGUGAGCAACUGAAGAACAGGAAAAUAGAUCCUACUGGUGACACUGCUUCUCAAUCACUUUAAGGCCUAAAACUGUUCACAGUACCCCUUCUUUUCCCCUCAGCCCCACCAAAAAAAAAAUGUUAAGGUAAAUCCAUUAAAUGUUGAUACAGGAAAUAUUUGAUAAAAGUAA
Long non-coding RNA from Gavialis gangeticus (Gharial), 1357 nucleotides. RefSeq lists it as uncharacterized. NCBI's taxonomy places the organism in Eukaryota, Metazoa, Chordata, Crocodylia, Gavialidae. The transcript is spliced from 3 exons. The record is from RefSeq and is a predicted model, not a curated record.